Molecule: ribosomal RNA, 492 nt
Filed under: uncultured bacterium
Lineage: Bacteria
Description: partial 16S ribosomal RNA
Rfam family: Bacterial small subunit ribosomal RNA
Source: RNAcentral
AGUGAACGCUGGCGGUAGGCCUAACACAUGCAAGUCGAACGGCAGCACAGUAAGAGCUUGCUCUUACGGGUGGCGAGUGGCGGACGGGUGAGGAAUACAUCGGAAUCUACUUUUUCGUGGGGGAUAACGUAGGGAAACUUACGCUAAUACCGCAUACGACCUACGGGUGAAAGCAGGGGAUCUUCGGACCUUGCGCGAUUGAAUGAGCCGAUGUCGGAUUAGCUAGUUGGCGGGGUAAAGGCCCACCAAGGCGACGAUCCGUAGCUGGUCUGAGAGGAUGAUCAGCCCCACUGGAACUGAGACACGGUCCAGACGCCUACGGGAGGCAGCAGUGGGGAAUAUUGGACAAUGGGCGCAAGCCUAAUCCAGCCAUACCGCGUGGGUGAAGAAGGCCUUCGGGUUGUAAAGCCCUUUUGUUGGGAAAGAAAAGCAGCAGGUUAAUACCCCGCUGUUCUGACGGUACCCAAAGAAUAAGCACCGGCUAACUUCGUG